UACGUAGGGCGCAAGCGUUGUCCGGAAUUAUUGGGCGUAAAGAGCUCGUAGGCGGUUUGGUAAGUCGGGUGUGAAAUCUCCACGCUCAACGUGGAGGGGCCACUCGAUACUGCCAUGACUCGAGUCCGGUAGAGGAGUGUGGAAUUCCCGGUGUAGCGGUGAAAUGCGCAGAUAUCGGGAGGAACACCCGUAGCGAAGGCGGCACGCUGGGCCGGAACUGACGCUGAGGAGCGAAAGCGUGGGGAGCAAACAGG
RNAcentral lists this ribosomal RNA (254 nucleotides) under uncultured bacterium. RNAcentral describes it as "partial 16S ribosomal RNA". It matches the Rfam family "Bacterial small subunit ribosomal RNA", at positions 524 to 776 of the family's 1533-position model. The record is from RNAcentral.